CCUACGGGAGGCAGCAGUGGGGAAUAUUGGGCAAUGGUCGCAAGCCUGACCCAGCAACGCAGCGUGAAGGAAGAAGGCUUUCGGGUUGUAAACUUCUUUUAAGAGGGGAGAGCAGAAGACGGUACCUCUUGAAUAAGCCACGGCUAACUACGUGCCAGCAGCCGCGGUCGUACGGAGGUGGCAAGCGUUGUCCGGAUUUACUGGGUGUAAAGGGCGUGCAGACGGGAAGACAAGUCAGUUGUGAAAUCCCGCGGCUCAACCGCGGAACUGCAGGGGAAACUGGUUUUCUUGAGUACCGGAGAGGUCAGCGGAAUUCGUGGUGUAGCGGUGAAAUGCGUAGAUAUAAGGAAGAACACCAGUGGCGAAGGCGGAUGACGGGACGGCAACUGACGGUGAGGCGCGAAAGCGUGGGGAGCAAACAGGAUUAGAUACCCUUGUAGUC
Molecule: ribosomal RNA, 442 nt
Filed under: uncultured bacterium
Lineage: Bacteria
Description: partial 16S ribosomal RNA
Rfam family: Bacterial small subunit ribosomal RNA
Source: RNAcentral